UCUAUUUUGGCAGAAAAGUGCAAUGGAUUUAGAAUCCAUAAAUGUAAGGUUGAAUUUUACAGAUAGAA
RNAcentral lists this transfer RNA (68 nucleotides) under Sinacroneuria dabieshana. Its description in RNAcentral is "tRNA-Leu". It matches the Rfam family "tRNA". Rfam says of the family: Transfer RNA (tRNA) molecules are approximately 80 nucleotides in length. The record is from RNAcentral. Lineage: Eukaryota; Metazoa; Arthropoda; Insecta; Plecoptera; Perlidae.